GAAAAGUUCGAGAAAAGGGACUAUUGAUUUAAGUCAAACUCGCACCUUUGUCACAGAAUCCGCCAUACAUGUCUAGAAGUUGCUCUCGAACUAAUAUAAAAUGUUCCAUGCCUUCAUAUGAUAUCAUUAUACCCACCUACUUGAUGGAAGACGGGUGUACACAAACAUUGCUGAUGGGGAUCGACUGCCUUUCACCCUUGAACCAUCUACUCAGACGACAGAGCCGGGGGAUGGGUGGCCGUGGACGCCAACACCGGCCGGCCGGCCGGCCAUAUUCUAUGGACUACUGCUAGCCCCAGCAAUGAUACCUGUCCUGGGGCCGUUACAAUACUGAAUGGAGUCCUCUUUGCUGGCUCAGUGGCUUGUAUUGUAAUGGUCCAUUAGAUGCCAGUACUGUGGUCAUAUAACACUAGUGCUACUAUUUAUUUGUGGAGGAGCCUCUGCUAGCUAUGGCUGCAUUUUCAUUGGGCAUUCAUGGAUAUUCAGCUGGCUUGGCAAAAUUCAAUCCAACUAGGACCGGUGGAAAUUCAACCCUUGCAUUCUGUGUUUGAAGAAGAACAGGCUUAAAUAAAAUGGAGGACUAGGCACAUCGCAAUAACUUUACUUCUGUUGCUUACAAGAUAAACAUUAAACUAUACUCUUUGUUUGAGAUAUAUGACCUAUAAAUUCUGAAGUUAACACAUCACGGAUCCAUUGCUUAAAACAAAAUACACACUGUUAAGUGCUUUAACUCUCAGACAUCCUCUACAUAACCCCACAACUACAAGAGAUGGCUUUGUUCAUAUCUAUGAAACUGAAGUCGUCUUGAUCACUCUGGUCAUCAGAGUUACGUAAGAACUAAGAAUACCGCUGGAAAUUCGAUUUUUGCAUUUUGUGUCUGAACUGUAUAUGAAGAAGAAAAGCAAAUAAAUUCCUGCAAAACGUAAAUGAAUAAUUCCAAUGUUUUACAGCAGAUAAUUAGAUGAUCUAAUCUGUAGAUAUUGGCAGGUAGCACCGGGAGUUCCCCCAAACACUUCAGUGGGCUAGACUUGGAUAUUCAUGCUUAGAAGAAGAAGGCAUCUAAGAACUAAGAAGUCGGCAGUGAAGCGGUCAGGGGAAACCUGACGUUUUUCUUUCUUCCUCUUUGGGUGCACUUUUUAAUUUGUACUGCUCGUAGAUGCAAAUUAAGAACACGAUAUUAUUGACCUAUUU
This 1191-nucleotide long non-coding RNA is filed under the name Coffea arabica (coffee). RNAcentral's name for it is "long non-coding RNA (CARA_LNC007629)". The record is from RNAcentral. Lineage: Eukaryota; Viridiplantae; Streptophyta; Magnoliopsida; Gentianales; Rubiaceae.